AUACGUAGGGGGCGAGCGUUGUCCGGAAUGAUUGGGCGUAAAGUGCUCGUAGGCGGCGCGGUAAGUCUGGAGUGAAAGUCCUGCUUUCAAGGUGGGAAUUGCUUUGGAUACUGCCGCGCUUGAGUGCAGGAGAGGUUAUCGGAAUUCCCGGUGCAGCGGUGAAAUGCGUAGAGAUCGGGAGGAACACCAGUGGCGAAGGCGGGUAACUGGACUGCAACUGACGCUGAGGCGCGAAAGUGUGGGGAGCAAACAGGAUUAGAUACCCUGGUAGUCCACACUGUAAACGAUGAAUGCUAGGUGUAAGAGGUAUCGACCCCUUUUGUGCCGGAGUCAACACAAUAAGCAUUCCGCCUGGGGAGUACGGCCGCAAGGUUGAAACUCAAAUGAAUUGACGGGG
This 397-nucleotide ribosomal RNA is filed under the name uncultured bacterium. RNAcentral describes it as "partial 16S ribosomal RNA". It matches the Rfam family "Bacterial small subunit ribosomal RNA", at positions 523 to 918 of the family's 1533-position model. The record is from RNAcentral.